GUAGUCGGGGCUUAGUGGUUAAGGUGAUGGGCUAGAAAUCCAUUGGGGUUUCUCUGUGCAGGUUUGGUUCCUGCUGACUAAG
This 82-nucleotide transfer RNA is filed under the name Loxodonta africana (African savanna elephant). It matches the Rfam family "tRNA". Rfam says of the family: Transfer RNA (tRNA) molecules are approximately 80 nucleotides in length. Their secondary structure includes four short double-helical elements and three loops (D, anti-codon, and T loops). Further hydrogen bonds mediate the characteristic L-shaped molecular structure. tRNAs have two regions of fundamental functional importance: the anti-codon, which is responsible for specific mRNA codon recognition, and the 3' end, to which the tRNAs corresponding amino acid is attached (by aminoacyl-tRNA synthetases). tRNAs cope with the degeneracy of the genetic code in two manners: having more than one tRNA (with a specific anti-codon) for a particular amino acid; and 'wobble' base-pairing, i.e. permitting non-standard base-pairing at the 3rd anti-codon position. Lineage: Eukaryota; Metazoa; Chordata; Mammalia; Proboscidea; Elephantidae. The record is from Rfam by way of RNAcentral.